GGAUUCUAACAGUCAUACUGUAUACGUAGUGUGCCGGAUGGCCAGUUCCCUUGUUCUGCAGAACAAGAGAAUGUCGUCCAGAUAAAUUAUGCAUCUGAUCCUGCGUGUUCGGAGGUGCGAUACCACUGGUUUUAGCAUUUUCGUGAAGCACCACGGUGCUGAGCUCAGUCCGCACGGAAGGCACGUGAACUGCCAUCGCGUGCCGUUCCAGAGAAAACGG
Molecule: non-coding RNA, 220 nt
Organism: Pelobates cultripes (western spadefoot toad)
Lineage: Eukaryota; Metazoa; Chordata; Amphibia; Anura; Pelobatidae
Source: the annotation of a GenBank genome assembly